This 1701-nucleotide ribosomal RNA is filed under the name Staphylococcus aureus. RNAcentral's name for it is "partial 23S ribosomal RNA". It matches the Rfam family "Bacterial large subunit ribosomal RNA", at positions 557 to 2261 of the family's 2925-position model. Lineage: Bacteria; Bacillati; Bacillota; Bacilli; Caryophanales; Staphylococcaceae. The record is from RNAcentral.
CGUGUGCUUACAAGUAGUCAGAGCCCGUUAAUGGGUGAUGGCGUGCCUUUUGUAGAAUGAACCGGCGAGUUACGAUUUGAUGCAAGGUUAAGCAGUAAAUGUGGAGCCGUAGCGAAAGCGAGUCUGAAUAGGGCGUUUAGUAUUUGGUCGUAGACCCGAAACCAGGUGAUCUACCCUUGGUCAGGUUGAAGUUCAGGUAACACUGAAUGGAGGACCGAACCGACUUACGUUGAAAAGUGAGCGGAUGAACUGAGGGUAGCGGAGAAAUUCCAAUCGAACCUGGAGAUAGCUGGUUCUCUCCGAAAUAGCUUUAGGGCUAGCCUCAAGUGAUGAUUAUUGGAGGUAGAGCACUGUUUGGACGAGGGGCCCCUCUCGGGUUACCGAAUUCAGACAAACUCCGAAUGCCAAUUAAUUUAACUUGGGAGUCAGAACAUGGGUGAUAAGGUCCGUGUUCGAAAGGGAAACAGCCCAGACCACCAGCUAAGGUCCCAAAAUAUAUGUUAAGUGGAAAAGGAUGUGGCGUUGCCCAGACAACUAGGAUGUUGGCUUAGAAGCAGCCAUCAUUUAAAGAGUGCGUAAUAGCUCACUAGUCGAGUGACACUGCGCCGAAAAUGUACCGGGGCUAAACAUAUUACCGAAGCUGUGGAUUGUCCUUUGGACAAUGGUAGGAGAGCGUUCUAAGGGCGUUGAAGCAUGAUCGUAAGGACAUGUGGAGCGCUUAGAAGUGAGAAUGCCGGUGUGAGUAGCGAAAGACGGGUGAGAAUCCCGUCCACCGAUUGACUAAGGUUUCCAGAGGAAGGCUCGUCCGCUCUGGGUUAGUCGGGUCCUAAGCUGAGGCCGACAGGCGUAGGCGAUGGAUAACAGGUUGAUAUUCCUGUACCACCUAUAAUCGUUUUAAUCGAUGGGGGGACGCAGUAGGAUAGGCGAAGCGUGCGAUUGGAUUGCACGUCUAAGCAGUAAGGCUGAGUAUUAGGCAAAUCCGGUACUCGUUAAGGCUGAGCUGUGAUGGGGAGAAGACAUUGAGUCUUCGAGUCGUUGAUUUCACACUGCCGAGAAAAGCCUCUAGAUAGAAAAUAGGUGCCCGUACCGCAAACCGACACAGGUAGUCAAGAUGAGAAUUCUAAGGUGAGCGAGCGAACUCUCGUUAAGGAACUCGGCAAAAUGACCCCGUAACUUCGGGAGAAGGGGUGCUCUUUAGGGUUAACGCCCAGAAGAGCCGCAGUGAAUAGGCCCAAGCGACUGUUUAUCAAAAACACAGGUCUCUGCUAAACCGUAAGGUGAUGUAUAGGGGCUGACGCCUGCCCGGUGCUGGAAGGUUAAGAGGAGUGGUUAGCUUCUGCGAAGCUACGAAUCGAAGCCCCAGUAAACGGCGGCCGUAACUAUAACGGUCCUAAGGUAGCGAAAUUCCUUGUCGGGUAAGUUCCGACCCGCACGAAAGGCGUAACGAUUUGGGCACUGUCUCAACGAGAGACUCGGUGAAAUCAUAGUACCUGUGAAGAUGCAGGUUACCCGCGACAGGACGGAAAGACCCCGUGGAGCUUUACUGUAGCCUGAUAUUGAAAUUCGGCACAGCUUGUACAGGAUAGGUAGGAGCCUUUGAAACGUGAGCGCUAGCUUACGUGGAGGCGCUGGUGGGAUACUACCCUAGCUGUGUUGGCUUUCUAACCCGCACCACUUAUCGUGGUGGGAGACAGUGUCAGG